GUUUCUAAUCAGUAUUUAUCACCACCCCACUAUCAAUCAUUCAGAGCUGGUCAUUACUCCUUAUCUUCCUCGGAGAUGGUUUCGUUCCAACUUCCUAUCUGUCUCCUCCCUCCUAUAUAGAUUGUUUCGUUAAAUCUUACAUCAAACCAAAAUCUCCACCCUCAGCAGAAAAAAAAAAAGAAAAUAAGCUAUAGCCAUAAAAUCUGCUGAAGCCAUCGAAAUGACUAGAGUUGAUCUAAACGUCUUUUCAUCUUCUGCCGCCGACACAGAGUCUGAUCCGAGUGUCACCAUAAACGGCUUGAAACCCUUAUCCUUUCGUCAUCGGGACGGAUCUACCCUCGCCAAAACGAAUCAAAACAGCUGUUGGACAAGUUGUGCGCUUCUGGAGGAGGUUUGCGGAUGGAUUAAUGCUAAAGCCAUUGUUCCAGUAUAGGCUAAGAUGACUUCUAAUAUUAUUGACAUAACAGAGGGACGCGACAUCUUUCUCACCGGCGGCUCGGAUCAUG
Long non-coding RNA from Brassica oleracea var. oleracea, 506 nucleotides. RefSeq lists it as uncharacterized. The record is from RefSeq and is a predicted model, not a curated record. NCBI's taxonomy places the organism in Eukaryota, Viridiplantae, Streptophyta, Magnoliopsida, Brassicales, Brassicaceae. The transcript is spliced from 3 exons.